Long non-coding RNA from Hemicordylus capensis (graceful crag lizard), 5675 nucleotides. RefSeq lists it as uncharacterized. Lineage: Eukaryota; Metazoa; Chordata; Lepidosauria; Squamata; Cordylidae. The record is from RefSeq and is a predicted model, not a curated record. The transcript has 2 exons.
AUUGUUCAUCUGGUGAUCACUCCUUAUUUGGUUACAUCCUGUUUUAUUAACUUCUCAGCAAAGAAUGGUGAGAACCAAGUUUCUUUAGAUACAAUUUAGUGGAGAGAGAUAAUCAUGUGAGGCCGUGUCCUUGAGCUGGGCUGGGGUUGCUUUAAGUUAGAAUUAGGUUUUCUAAGCAAACUUGGAGAUGCUUUGGUAUUCUAUGUAAAAUGGAGUUACUUUGGUUUACUCAAACACAUCAUAACCAAUUUGUAUUCAAUGUGGAGCGUGAGCCCCAUUGUCUACCUGCUUCUGCAGAGCAUUAAAUCAAGCCUCUAAUUGAUUCCCACUGUGUCUGUUUGAUUGGCUUAAGGUGGACCCAGGGACGAACUGAAUUCACAUCAAUUUGGUGCCGUGACAGUCGGAUAUGGCUCUGGGUGGACAGUCUGACCCAUCACGGGACAGUGAGAUCCAGCGCGCCUCACAGCAUUUUGUCUGUGGAGGAUUCUCAUGGGCCCGGGAUGCGCCAGUCGUCACAAUGCGCCACAUCUGGGAAUCGAGGCAAGAGUGAAUGAAAGUAUGAACAGAGAGAGUGAAUGAGUAAGAGAGUGAAAUCCAAAGACGUCUUUUGGUUCUCCUCAGCCCAAGAGGGGCAAAGGGGGGGGGGAAAGCCCAGGGAGGGGCAAUUUUCAGCCCGAGAAAAGGGGGGAAAUCCUACAACCGAAGAAGGGCUGCCCACGCAGGGGCAAAUUUAAGCCAAAAUCCCGAGAGGGGAGAAAGCCAAAAUCCCGAGAGGGGGGGGCAAUUUAAGCCAAAAAGUCCAAGCAGGGGCGGUUUAAUCUUUCAGCUCGAGAAGGGGGAAAGCGAGAGAGAGAAAACAAAAACAAAAAAACCCCACAGCCGAAGUAGGGCUGCCUGGGAAGGAGUGACUUAAGCCAAGAGCCCAAGGAGGGGUGGCUUUGAGUCAGAAAUAAACAGUCUAAGCCCAACCAACUCAAAGGGGGGGCUAUGGGUAGCAGAAAUAGCAAGUACACAAAAUCUGAACGGAUUUCAUGUACACCUUUGGAGUGUGUGUUGAAAAAUUGGGUGAUUAUCAUGGGAGCAAAGAGUGCUCUUAGAAAACAUGUUUUGAAAUGCCAUUGUAUGAAAGUUUGGCCACUAUGAACUCGAGUCAGAGGCCUCCUGACUCCAAAAAUAACAUCCUUUUGCACUUGCCUCUGUUUUAUAAGUGUUAAAGAAGGAAGAAUGAUUUGUCUUUUGCAAAAAUCAUUUCUCUCUCUGUGUUCUGUUUCCAAGUUGCUUCCAGGCUUUGCCCUUGUGUUGCAAAAAAAAAAGAAAAAAAAGAAAAAAUCUUGCUGCUACUGUCCUGUUGUCACGAAGCCAAAAGAUAACUGUCCAAGCUGCAAAAGUUUCUCUGAACAAAAGGCUGCUUUUGUUCUCUUUUUCUUUUUUCCAUCUCUCUUCAACUACUUGAGUUGGAAAAGAGGAAAGAAAAUGGAGUUUUGAAGGAAUGCAUAUGGGAAUUACAGACAAAAGAAAAAGAAAAAAAACCUAGAAGGAAAUACGUAAAAGGAUUUUUGUUGGAGGUUGUUAACAACAACAAAAAGAAAAAUGCUUGAAAAGCACCACCCUGCUUUGCCUUCACAGCAGCUGAAUCUUAAAAUCCCAGACAUGAGAUUUAAUGAAAGGAAUUUUGUUUGCCAAUCCUGCAAGUGGCAAGGAGUUCCAAAGCACCAGUUUGCAAUUCACCUUGGAAAUUUCCCAGCUAAAAGGGAUUUGUCUGGGGCAGUAGAUGGCUGACUCCCUCACACAUGACCGAAUAUCAUGUGACUUUGGUGAGGAUCCUGGGGUUUCCAUUGCUACUACUUUGUUCUUAAUCCAGCUAACUUACUUCCUUUUGAGUCUACAGAAGACCAAGAACAUGAUUGCUUGCAAGCUGUGGACUACAUCUAUGCCAAGCCAUUCUGAUCUUAAAGAUGAACUGUACACAGAUGGAGGCAGCUUCAUGUAAGAUGGACAACGUAAGCUGGCUAUGGAGAAGUGACUGACCAUGCUCUUUCUCCAGGUAUCUCAGUCAGCACAGCUUGCAGAGCUCAUCACCUUCAAGGUAAUUUUUACACAACUAAUGGGGCCACUUGGAAAGAAAGAAGAUUUUUAACAGUGGGAAACAAGGAAGUAAAAUAUGGGACACAGAUAUCAGAACUCUAGACUGCUGUUACACUACUAGAAGAGGUUGCAGUCAUCCAUAGCAGAGGUCACCAGAGGAAAAUGACCCAGUGACAAAGGGUAAUUGGAUGGCAGAUGCUGCAGCUAAAACUGCUGCUCCUUCUAUUCCUGUUUCCAAGCAUCUUUGAUUCCUGUGCUAACUAUCUUGGCACAAACCCACCCCCACAUAUUCAAAAAAAAAAAAAGGACAUCGACUUUGCACCACAGCAGGGGGGCGCAUUUAGAAGAGGAUGGCUGGUAAAGAACAGCAGAUGGAUGUGGAAUUCUUGCAGAACCAAACCUUUGGUUUUUUUUCCUAGUCAAUACAAAGACACUUUUGUGCCUCUUGGAUGUACCCUUUUGCAGAACAUGUGGCAACAGCCUGUGUAAUUUGUGUAGUAAACAAUCCUACUUUACCAAGGUAUAGUAUCUCACUGGACAUACUGUGUGGGCUAUCUUUUUCCUUGUCUCGAGAGGUUGUUUUCACCUUACAGAAAUGUCAAACCCAAACUUGAAUCCAUCAGUGACUGGUUAAUUAUGAGGCUAAAGAUGGAGAACGGGGACACCACAACUAUCUACACAUUACUGACGAUGAAGUCAGUUAUACUGGAUGGAGACUGAUUGCCCUGACAAAGGCCUGUAAGUAUGAUUGUCAGCCAACGUAGUGCAGUGGUUAGAGUGCUGGAUUAAGACCGGGAAAACCCGAGUCCAAAUCCUCAUUCAGCCAAGACACUUGCUGGGCGACACAGAGCCUACAACUCAAAAGAUUUGGCCUGCCUCACAGGGUUGUUGUAAGGAGAAAGAACAGGAUACAGAAGAGAAUGUGAGAUGCCACAUGGAAACUGGACUUUGUUAGCAGUGACUAUGCUUGACCUGAAAGGCUUUAAUGCCUCCUCAAAACCCCAAACUCACACGGGGGGUGAAAAAUGUGAAUGCCUUUUUCUUCUUGACUUUAUUGCCUUGCUUUUGCCCAGGAUUGCUGUUUUGUUCUCGUGAUCAGAAACCAGCCUACAACACAAGCCAGCCAGCCUCCAAGAAGCACCGGCUCCCACACACAGCCUCACGCCUGGCCACCAAGCCUCAAAUGAAGACAAAGAAAAAAAAUUGCCAAAAGACCAAAUUGAAAUUAGCCUCAGGUUUUAUCCAUCCUUUGUAUUAUUUGCCUUGAAAACUUGACUUUUCCUUUUGUGCUAACAGUUGGCACCCAGAGACUUAGUCUCAGGAUGCUGUCCCUACAUGGGGGGGGAGGGAAUUGGCAACUCACUUGCCUGUCUUUCUCUCAAGUAAACAGGUUUGCAACCAACAGUGCCUUGAAUUGUCUUUCCAAGAAGGAUUGGUCCUCCCCAGAUCGAAGGAAUACCUGGAUCCAUCGCCAGAAUGUGAUCCCAAGGGAGUCUCCAUCAACAGUGACCCAGGAAAACUAACAAUCAGCAGCAGCAGCUACCCGGGGGCAGUCCCUAUCUGCAUUUCCAGUCCAACCCAAUGGUGACAGAACGUCUAUCUACUACCCUGUCCUGUGUUCGAGGAAGAAGGCCUAAUGCACAGUUCAUCUUCCUGCUUCCAAGUGUUAUAGGAGAAGGAUAGACAACAAACGCCUGAAGACUGCCUGAUAACAAACAAGCAAGCCAAUUUGUUCACUUUUCUGUGGAGUCAUACACGUAACAGCAUUUCCCCAAGCUGUAAAGCCCUGGAACCAUCCUACCUGGGUAAGAUACCUUGCCAAAGACACUAUUUCUAAUUCUGCCAAAGACACUAUUUCAGAUUGCCCACAAGGGGAGGGAGUCAAGGCUCCCAAACACAUGAACAUUUAAGCUUGUCUGUGGACACUAGCCAAACAAGCCAAAACAACACGGAUCAGGAUAGCCAAAAUCCUGCAACGUUUUACAAGAGCAUUUGGUUCUCAACUGAAGGACUAAAAUAUAUUUUUCCUUACCAAGGACUUUUAGAUUUUGAAUUCUAAAGCUCUCCAUGGCUUCCUUUUUGGCCAUGACAGACUUUAGAGGACACUAAGGGGGGUGGGAGUUGAUGAUUUGCACCACUUUCUUAUAUUACUUUCUUGUAGUGACUAUGUGCUAUCAUUAUGUUGAAAACCUUGCUAUCUCCUGUGCUGUAAGGUCAUGGACCUCACAUGCUUGCUCUCCAGUCAUUUCCUUAUUGUUUCACUUAUAUAUUGUGCCAAUCAUCUCAUUGUUUCAACCAGAGCAUUUACCUGCAAGUCUGCACCUAUCCCCAAGUUACUGAUCCCUUUAUGCUCUAAGACAUUAAGCUGGCCCAAGCUUUACCUACAAUUUUAUAGACACUUGUAUUAAUCAGCGUGAUUAUACAUGACUUGUCAUUGCUAUCGCUUUCCACAAGCUGAUAACCCAUUAAUCACCAGAAGCAUCUGGUUCCACAAUGCAAGACUGUUAUUUAUACUUUAUUUGGGAUAAAGAUGGGUUAAAAUCAUGUUGCUUGCUAUAAGUUGUAUGAUCUUUAUAUGUACACUUUGCUGUUAUGUGUAAAAUUUAUAUAUAUAUAUCAAAUCAUGCCAGAUAUGGGUGGUUAAGGAUAUGUGUGUGUGUGAUGUAUAGAAUUAUAUAAUUAUGUUUGUAGCUCUAGAAUAUUGUAUGCAAUGUGCCUGCCAUAGCACAUACCAUUUCUGUAAAAACUAUGCUUAAUGCAUCACAAAUGUUUAAGGCAUCCCAAAACCACAUAUGUUCCAAACCCUUUAGCCACACGAAACACAAAGUUCCAUCAAUGGGCAAGAACUAUAUUCCAAGAUUAAGAGUUUGUGUGUUAGAAAGAGCUACUGUUAAUAUUUUCAAACAGUUAGAACUUUCAUUAACUAAUAUGGAGAGCCUAUUGAUUUAUGGGCAAAGAAGAUAAUUCUGGUUGUAUUUUCUUUGUAUUAAUAAUCACAUGUUGCUGCUUACAAUGUAUUACAGCUUUAAACCAAAUGUUUAUGAGAACCUUUAAACCUUGCCAUAGUAUAAGACCCAUACAUACAGCUGUACCUUUACAAACUUUAAUUAAGACAUCCUGAAGAUUCAGGAUGAUCCAGUUGUUUCAGGGGGGAAUUGAUGUGUUUGAGUAAACCAAAGUAACUCCAUUUUACAUAGAAUACCAAAGCAUCUCCAAGUUUGCUUAGAAAACCUAAUUCUAACUUAAAGCAACCCCAGCCCAGCUCAGGCCAGCUCAAGGACACGGCCUCACAUGAUUAUCUCUCUCCACUAAAUUGUAUCUAAAGAAACUUGGUUCUCACCAUUCUUUGCUGAGAAGUUAAUAAAACAGGAUGUAACCAAAUAAGGAGUGAUCACCAGAUGAACAAUGAAUCAUUCGCAUGCGUACUAGAUACUUAGUCCACCAUUUUACUGCCACGUAUACUAUGUCAGCAUCAUUCAGAUUGUCUGUAUAAAUGUAAGAUGCACCUAUAACCAAUUUGUAUUCAAUGUGGAGCGUGAGCCCCAUUGUCUACCUGCUUCUGCAGAGCAUUAAAUCAAGCCUCUAAUUGA